Molecule: long non-coding RNA, 1791 nt
Organism: Cyprinus carpio carpio
Lineage: Eukaryota; Metazoa; Chordata; Actinopteri; Cypriniformes; Cyprinidae
Source: Ensembl
GUGAGGUUUAAUUCAGCUCUACUGAACUAACACUGUAGCGACACGUGUAAUAAACAGGACACGAAAUGAGUAGAAGACAGCGUAUCCAAAUGUAAUGUUUAUGUGCACAACUAAAGGGAGAUUCUGAAGGUUAAUCCUGCGUCUCAAAAUAUACGUGCUGCCUACUUAGACGAGCAUUUUUAAAAACCAUUACCGUGGAUAACGAUGUCUAAAAUACCUUAGUAUUGAAGAAGGCAGCUUUGGAGACACAGCCGUGACCUGCUGUAACGUUACCCAACUUCCGGUUUAACAGAUACGUGUGUAGCACUUUGUUUUACACUUCUGUUCCUCAUAUGUACAUACUACGUACUUAUUAUAGUAACGUUCAUUUACAAUAACUAGGCACUAACCCAAAACCUAACUCUACCCCAUGUAGUACUGUAAAAUAAAGUGCAACCGAUUGUGGAGUACAAAGAUGUCCAAGCCUGCUUCUCGUAGCUCUCAGCUGCUGCUGUCGGAUCAGAAGUGUGCUAAAUGUCUGUUGGAGACGUAUGUCAAGCGGAGCCUCAGCCUGAAUGAAGGAUGCAGGAAACAUCAGCUAAAUAAACACAAAUGGCUUAAACCAGACAGGCAGUCCAGACGGGCGUCCAGUGACACCUCCACCCAGCGUUUGAGAGUAGAGAGGCUCCUGAAGACCAGCGAGUGCCCUGAAUGCACAACACCAGAACUUGUCACUAGGAGAAAGAGCACCAAAGCACCAAACAGAACCAAAUCAUUCUUCAGAGGCUUUCUCCACCUCUUCUCUAAGAAGAAGACCGAGCCCAAAGUGAAAGAUGAGCGAGUUACAGAAACAGACUCUGGACAACAUAUGAUAGAACGGGGGCUUCGCUCUUCUCAGAAAGGCUCAUCUGGCCUCAGUGUGAGGAAAAAACACUCUCUGAGAAGGAUCUUCUUUAGCAAUCAAAAUGAUGAGAAAAGAGAGUCCCUGCAAAAGGACUCCUCUCGUGUUCGUGGAGGCGUGGAGGGGCUUUCAGACGUGAGCGUGGACUCUGAUAAUACAUACUUUGAGAAGGUGUCAGAAGAACUGGAGUUGAUUGUGAAGGAGAUUCAGUUCAGUCCAAAAGAAGAUGCUCCGCUUCUCUCUUCUGCUUCUGCAAGAGACUGCAGCUCUUCAGGUGAUGACACUACAGAGAGGAUUACCAGCCUGCUGAAGCAACAUGGGGAUAUUAUUGAUCAGAAAAUAAGCAGGAACAAGAGUGUCCAAGACUUCCUCCAGAAACUGUCUUACAGCUCCUUCCAGCAGCUGGCUGAUCGCUACAUAGCGCAGAUCCCCAGUCCUCUUCCCCAGACCACAGACGCCUCCCCUGAGCUGGUCAGACUCGCCUUCACCCUGGACUUUACCGCCAAAGUGGCUGGAUUGUGCAGCCAGACAGUCGGUCGGAUCAUGGGGUUUGGUAACCAGUACCUUCAGGAUUCCUUCACACAAAUGUGUGCAGCCCACAGACAGGUGCCAGAAGAUUUGGAAGAACAGAGUACAAGUGAUACAGACUGACUGUGAAGUCAAAAACGACAAAAAAAAAAAAAGAUAAAAAGUGCAAUAGAGUUAACUCAGGGGGGGGGGAAACUGAUGUAUUUGUAGCUGCUUUUGUGAAUAAGCCAAAUUUAGUAGUUUGUUUAUACUAUAAGUUUACAGUGACUGACUGUGAAAAUUACAACAGUUGAACCUGAUACUAAAACUGUGAAUAAUAUUUGUUUUUUUUACACCAAAUUAGCAUAUUCUACUGAUUUCUGAAUGAUAAUGUGACAUUGAAG